CCGAGAUAUCAGAUACGACAGUUCCUGUAGAAAAGACGAACAUACACACAGACUCGAAAGCUUUCCCAGUUGCAGCUGCUGUAGGUGGUUCCGUUGGUGCAGUUCUGAUAGUCGCCGUAGUGGUUGUUGUGAUUAUCAUUUAUAUAAGGAAGAAACGAACAAAAGGCAAACAAAACACCGGUGAUGAUGACGAUGGUGAUUACGUCAUUAGGGAUGUUAACCCUAACAACGCUGAUACGAAUCUUAACCCUUCCGUCGCU
Molecule: long non-coding RNA, 260 nt
Organism: Gigantopelta aegis
Lineage: Eukaryota; Metazoa; Mollusca; Gastropoda; Neomphalida; Peltospiridae
Exons: 3
Source: RefSeq, a predicted model, not a curated record